GGGCUCGGGGCGGAGAGGAGGGGGGGAAAUGGCAAUCUCUGAUUGGCUACGCCCGCUGUGGAUGGGCGAGGCCUGGAGGGGUUCGGCCGGGAGGCUUUGGCGCGGUCUCGCAGCUUUCACUUCCCCUCAGAGCCGCCGGUUCGAGUCCCGUGUCCGCGCCCCCGCCCGGCUGAGAUCUGGGCCCCGCUUCUAACCUUGGACGCAAUUGCAGAGCUCCUGUAAAUCAUCUGACUUUACUGGAUUUGCAUCUUCCCUGCAACUGCAAGUCAGCGAGUGCAGCCAGGCUGAGCAGGCAGCACCACUGCUCCUGAGUCUAACAGCAUGGACCCUUCCUCCAGGCAGGUUUUAAACCCUUUCCCAAAGUACGU
This 368-nucleotide long non-coding RNA is filed under the name Strigops habroptila (Kakapo). RNAcentral's name for it is "lncRNA (ENSSHBG00005014328.1)". Lineage: Eukaryota; Metazoa; Chordata; Aves; Psittaciformes; Psittacidae. The record is from RNAcentral.